AACGAACGCUGGCGGCGUGCUUAACACAUGCAAGUCGAGCGAGAAAGGGAGCUUCGGCACCUGAGUAAAGCGGCGCACGGGUGAGUAACACGUGGGUAACCUGCCUUUCAGUGGGGGAUAACAGCCCGAAAGGGCUGCUAAUACCGCAUUCGUCCACACGGUCACAUGUCUGUGUGGAGAAAGAGGCGCAAGUCUCGCUGGAAGAUGGGCCCGCGGUCCAUUAGCUAGUUGGUGGGGUAAAGGCCUACCAAGGCUUCGAUGGAUAGCUGGUCUGAGAGGAUGAUCAGCCACACUGGAACUGAGACACGGUCCAGACUCCUACGGGAGGCAGCAGUGGGGAAUAUUGCGCAAUGGGCGAAAGCCUGACGCAGCAACGCCGCGUGUGUGAUGAAGGCC
RNAcentral lists this ribosomal RNA (396 nucleotides) under uncultured bacterium. RNAcentral describes it as "bacterial SSU rRNA". It matches the Rfam family "Bacterial small subunit ribosomal RNA", at positions 29 to 416 of the family's 1533-position model. The record is from RNAcentral.